RNAcentral lists this ribosomal RNA (353 nucleotides) under Orthochirus glabrifrons. Its description in RNAcentral is "partial large subunit ribosomal RNA". The stretch from base 78 to 353 matches the Rfam family "Bacterial large subunit ribosomal RNA", at positions 2048 to 2563 of the family's 2925-position model. Lineage: Eukaryota; Metazoa; Arthropoda; Arachnida; Scorpiones; Buthidae. The record is from RNAcentral.
UUAGUCUUUUAAUUGGGGACUGGAAUGAAAGAGUAAACCGGGAGAAUUUUUUUAAAAUUAAAUUAAUGAAGUUAACUUUUUAGUAAAAAGGCUAAAAUUAUUCUUUUAGACAAGAAGACCCUAUAAAACUUUAUACUAAGAUUUUUGAGAAGAAGAUCGGAAGUAUUCCACUGGGGUGGUGAGAGAAAAAACUUCUCUUAAAAAAGAGAACGAACGUGUUUUUAUAUCUAGAAUUUCUGAAAAAGAAAUAAGUUACUUUAGGGAUAACAGCUUAAUUCACUUUAAAAGACCUUAUUGAUAAGUGAGUUUAUGACCUCGAUGUUGAAUUAAAAUGUCUUUUUUAUGCAGCAGUU